UUGCAUAGCUGAAACCAGCCUGAAAUACUUUCUUAUUCCUCUGUUCACUAGACAACAUUAAUGUUCCAUGUUCUACUCCAUGAUAUCAAGUAAAACUUCUGGGAGACAAGCUUACAGACUGGGAAAUCUAAGGUAUCAACUGGAACUAACAACAGUAUCAGAAAAUAUAUGAGCAGGAGCUGCAUCUAGAUGAUCAGAGUUUGUCACUUUAACUACAAAAGGAAUCUUGAUAAUAAUCUUAGGCAUUAAAUUUUAUGCUUUAUCAAAUAAUUAAUACCUGGAUAAUUGUGAAUCAUUACCUGCAAGAGAUCAGAAAAUCUGUGAAAUAUUUUAUUUGAAGUAUCAAUCAACAGAAAAAAAAAAAAAAAUAAAUUCAUGAACUAAGACA
RNAcentral lists this long non-coding RNA (388 nucleotides) under Coturnix japonica (Japanese quail). RNAcentral's name for it is "lncRNA (ENSCJPG00005000063.1)". Lineage: Eukaryota; Metazoa; Chordata; Aves; Galliformes; Phasianidae. The record is from RNAcentral.